CGAACGCUGGCGGCAGGCCUAACACAYGCAAGUCGGACGGUAGCACAGAGAGCUUGCUCUCGGGUGACGAGUGGCGGACGGGUGAGUAAUGUCUGGGGAUCUGCCCGAUAGAGGGGGAUAACCACUGGAAACGGUGGCUAAUACCGCAUAACGUCGCAAGACCAAAGAGGGGGACCUUCGGGCCUCUCACUAUCGGAUGAACCCAGAUGGGAUUAGCUAGUAGGCGGGGUAAUGGCCCACCUAGGCGACGAUCCCUAGCUGGUCUGAGAGGAUGACCAGCCACACUGGAACUGAGACACGGUCC
Molecule: ribosomal RNA, 304 nt
Filed under: uncultured Pantoea sp.
Lineage: Bacteria; Pseudomonadati; Pseudomonadota; Gammaproteobacteria; Enterobacterales; Erwiniaceae
Description: bacterial SSU rRNA
Rfam family: Bacterial small subunit ribosomal RNA
Source: RNAcentral